CUGCUAAGACUGGAUAGGAAACAAAAAGGCAUCUUUUUGUUUUUAAAAGACCUUCUUAUGAAGGUAUGCUUAAAGAGGGGCUUGCGCCACAUUAGUUAGUUGGUAGGGUAAAAGCCUACCAAGACGAUGAUGUGUAGCUGGACUGAGAGGUUGAACAGCCACAUUGGGACUGAGACACGGCCCAAACUCCUACGGGAGGCAGCAGUAGGGAAUUUUCGGCAAUGGAGGAAACUCUGACCGAGCAACGCCGCGUGAACGAUGAAGUAUUUCGGUAUGUAAAGUUCUUUUAUUGAAGAAGAAAAAGUAGUGGAAAAACUAUAUUGACGUUAUUCAAUGAAUAAGCCCCGGCUAACUAUGUGCCAGCAGCCGCGGUAAGACAUAGGGGGCGAGCGUUAUCCGGAAUUAUUGGGCGUAAAGGGUGCGUAGGCUGUUAGAUAAGUCUAUAAUUUAAUUUCAGUGCUUAACGCUGUUUUGUUAUAGAAACUGUCUUGACUAGAGUGAGAUAGAGGCAAGCGGAAUUCCAUGUGUAGCGGUAAAAUGUGUAAAUAUAUGGAGGAACACCAGAAGCGUAGGCGGCUUGCUGGGUCUUUACUGACGCUGAGGCACGAAAGCGUGGGUAGCAAACAGGAUUAGAUACCCUGGUAGUCCACGCCGUAAACGAUGAGUACUAAGUGUCGGGGUAAAACUCGGUACUGAAGUUAACACCUUAAGUACUCCGCCUGAGUAGUACGUACGCAAGUAUGAAACUUAAAGGAAUUGACGGGACUCCGCACAAGCGGUGGAUCAUGUUGUUUAAUUCGAAGAUACACGAAAAAUCUUACCAGGUCUUGACAUACUCUGCAAAGCUAUAGAAAUAUAGUGGAGGUUAUCAGGGAUACAGGUGGUGCAUGGUUGUCGUCAGUUCGUGUCGUGAGAUGUUAGGUUAAGUCCUAAAACGAGCGCAACCCUUGUCGUUAAUUGCCAGCACGUAAUGGUGGGGACUUUAGCGAGACUGCCAAUUAAACAUUGGAGGAAGGUGAGGAUUACGUCAAAUCAUCAUGCCCCUUAUGAUCUGGGCUACAAACGUGAUACAAUGGCUGUGACAAAGAGUAGCUGAAACGCGAGUUUUUAGCCAAUCUCAAAAAAGCAGUCUCAGUUCGGAUUGAAGUCUGUAACUCGACUUCAUGAAGUUGGAAUCGCUAGUAAUCGCGAAUCAGCAUGUCGCGGUGAAUACGUUCUCGGGGUUUGUACACACCGCCCGUCAAA
This 1245-nucleotide ribosomal RNA is filed under the name Candidatus Phytoplasma trifolii. RNAcentral's name for it is "bacterial SSU rRNA". It matches the Rfam family "Bacterial small subunit ribosomal RNA", at positions 160 to 1401 of the family's 1533-position model. The record is from RNAcentral. Lineage: Bacteria; Bacillati; Mycoplasmatota; Mollicutes; Acholeplasmatales; Acholeplasmataceae.